CUUUAAUUAAAUUAAUAGUCAAAGCAAGGCAGCAUGAUGCAGUGUAACUUCAUCUCUGCAAAGUCUGUUUCUCAGUAAAGUUUAGCAUUGAUAAUUUUGAAUUUACUAAGUCUCCUGUAUUCAGGAGGCUGCCAUAAAUAUAUGACAGAGUAAAGACACUUUCCUUCUUUAAAUGAAGGCUAGAAAUACUUUUCAUCACUACUAUUUUAAGCAUGGUGAUCUAAAAAGCAAUUCUGUAAGAGGGAGUUUACUUUGAAGAGAUGUCAAGAGUUCCUGAACAUUUUUUUGCCAUUCCUUCAAAGAGCUCAAUAUUUGUUUUUCCUCAGUAUGAGUACUCGUUUCUUUUGGAGGAAUCUGUUUACACUGAAGUUUGCAAUUCUGCAUGCUUAGAAGACCAGUAAUUUUACAGGCUUUAGCUCUAAAAACGCAACCUUCAGCCUUCCAGGAACAUCUUCCCCCUGCAAUUUGUUACCCAUGCAAAGCACCGGGUCCAGGUAUUUCCGAGCCCAACCAAUGGAUUGUAUUGCAGAAUGCCAAAGCAGUGAAAAUGGAAGACCAGCAUCACCCUGUAAUAGGCAGAAUCCUCGUGGGGGCGCAAACAUAGCGGAGGGCACGAAGGUCCUCCCAGCACUGUGCCAGUACAGCAUGUUGACAGCUUUCAGAGGUUGCCAGCAGGGAAGGGCAGUGCUGUACCGCCACUGCAUGAGGCCUAUUGCCUGCAGGAGCUUCUCCUCACGGCAGCGAGUGCCACAGACUGGAAAUGAGAAGACCAUUCGCAGUAACGUGAGGAGCAAAACUCUGCAGCGAUUGGAGAGAGGCCUGAGGAGCUGGCAGAAGGGUUGUGCACCCCAACAGAAGUUUCCAAAGACAGAAAAUCGCUUUUGGCUGGGGAUCCCUGGGGGUUCGGUGAGCUACCACUGCUUACCUCGCCUGGGGGUGCCUCCUCUCCCUGGACCGCCGUGUGACACGAGCGCCAGGGGCGAGCAGACUGCCUGCUGGUGGGCCAGACCUGUGCUCAGCGAUCUUGGUGGAGAAGAGGUAAUUAUGGAAGACAAGUUUCACACAGUCCCCAAAUUGCCUGGUAUCCAAUGCUCAGCUGAGAUAAGCUGGUGCCUUGCUAGUGGCCUGCUGACACAGAGCAACAGCAGGCCGGGUCCCUGAUGUGCUUUGGGGAAUGUGUUGGACAAGACCCAUAAAGCUGACAGUGAGACUGAAAAGUCAGAGGAUCUUCAAUGAAAUAAGACACCAGAAGAAUGCUGCAAGUACAGGAUAAACAACUUUUUGAGUGUUAAGUUGAAGAACACUCUUUGAGGCUACUGGGCUGGCUUAACAUCUUAUCAGCAAGAUGCUUGGACCAUGGGACGUAGCUGAGCAGCACGCACUGAAGCAGUCCCAGCUGUCCUGCCCAGGUUCCCACAUGUGUACGGCACAGGGAAAGUGAGGAGCUGCAAGCUGAAGGGCUGCAAAGGAGGAAGCGAAGACGGUGAUGAGCUGCUGUGUGCCCCAGCAGAGGUGGGUGAUGCAGGAGCAGCUCCUCAAGCACAGCCAUCAGCACAGCAGAGACAGAAAGGCACCUUCUUGUUCCCUUCAGUGGACACGGAAAUCUAUUGGUCCUGGUAACCUUAUGUCUGAAAACACAUUACCUCCUACUCCACAAGCUCCUACUACCAUAAAAAUUGCUUGUUGCAAACUGAGCUGAGUCACGUAUGGGCAUCUUUUCCCUGAUUCUUUGUGAAGGGUCCACUCCAUGAAAAUACGAAAACCUUGGGGAAAAAAAAGAUCCACAUAUAAAUACUGAAGAACGCAAGUCAUAAAGCAAUUCACAUUUUUUCCAGCCGUGACGAGCACAUAAUGGCAGCUCCAGGUGGCACACGGCUCUGCAGCAAGGCAUCGAGCGAGAGGCAGCAGCUGUUAGUGAGCCGUGGCAAAUGCCACGUGUUCACGUUCACAGCCCAGGUGGCUGCUCACAGGAUGCAGCAGCAGCAAACCCAUCCGCUGGGGCAGGAGCACCAGGCAGCGUGCUGGAGCUCGGCACGGAGCAGUGUCCAGAGGCUGUUGUGAACCGCAAGCGUGCUGGCUGCAACACAGCAGAUUGCAAAACAAAAACAAACAAACAAACGAAUAUCUGAAGCUUUCUUUGUGGAAACGAGACAUUUCACCAAAAAAAAUGCGCCUCGUGGAGACAGAUCUGUUAUGAUGCUAAACUUUGGGUGAAAAUUUUGGGGACCAGGGCGAGAGCCAGACCCCUGUCUCAGAUUCAGCAUAUACACGACAUCAAAGCAUUUCAGUGAAUUCUUCAUUCCAUUUACAUGCCAGCUCUCUGGUGAUGGAGUCAGACGUGUUGUGGUAGUCCUGCAAGCCAUAAAGCCAUCCAGCUUCUCUGCCACUGCUGCAGUUCUUAUUGCUGCAGCAUGGCUCUCAGGAGUGUGGUGCAGCGGGGACCGGACAGUGACGUGGCUGCCUGGGCUCUGGAUGCUCACCUUGGCCAAAGCAUCACAUCGCACAGGUGCCAGGUUUCGACUCCCCAUGCAGCUCUUGCCAUGUGGGCACAGCGGCCUAAGGACAUGUUGGGAACCACGUGCAGUAAGGAUGCUACGCAGCCAUGCCAAACUCUGGGGUUUGAUGUUUGGGUUUUGGUACAAAAGAAAAAGGAAAAUGAGGGCUGCUCUGGGACAGCCCUGCUCAGAAGUGAUGGCUGGGGUGAGGUGUUGACCCCAUGGCUCUGCAGGAUGCUGUUGUCAUACAGCUGCAGGAACAGAGCAGGCUGGCUGAGCACUGCUCAUCCACCUCAGUGCAAAGUUACUCUCCUAAUGGAUAUUUUUUUCAAAGUUACUAAGAUGUUACCUAGUUACCAUAGCCUGGUAACCAUUUAGACAGAUCGGGGCUUUUCCUUACCACCAGGUAGGCAAGUGACCCUCACUGAGUCGGUUGGUCCAGUGACACUGAAACCACCCAGCUGCAAAUCUGAGUGACACUCCAUAAGAAAUUUAUUUGAAGCGUUCAGAGGAACACUGCGGUAUGAGAUGAGUUAUGAUUAGUCUUGACAAUGCUAAUUCAAUUUAAAAUAUGCUUAACUGGUUUAAAAAUAAAACUUCAGCCUCCCUUCCACUGCAACCCAGUCCUGAAGCUAUUUCAGCGUGUGUUGCCCAUCCCAUGCCUUGUUUUCUGAUUCGGCUGCGAGGUUACUAUUAAUAGCCCAGAAGCUGGGGGGAGGAAGUGUGACUACCGAGUUCUGCAAACAGUUUAAUGUGCGCGCGCUUCUCGGCUGUGGGCGAGUGGUGCCAGCCCGCCCCGUGUGCCGCCGGGGUCAGCCCUGGCCACAUUGGACCACCCAUCCCUCCCCGCGCGCGUUGCUAAGAGACCUGCUCUCCUCCGCUGAGCUUCGUGGAGAGGAGCACAUCAAAGACACCCACAGCCCUGAAUGGUUUUAUAAAUGAAUUUAAAGAGGCACUCUCUCGUGCUGUGUUAUGCGGGGGGGAGAUCAAAAGUUGCUCUAUGUGCGGAGAGCAGCUGGAGAACUGAACUGGCUUCUUCUGGAAAAUAAGUGCUCUCAUUACUGAGAACCAUGUUGUAUUUACUUUUCUUUUCUUUUUUUUUUUUUUUUUGCUUUUUUUCAGAACUAGACUACAAAUUUAUGCUAAUUAAUGUUUUCAGUUUUAUGGCAGGCAAGACAUUGAACGCAGGCCAGGGUGCGUGUUUGUACGACUUUCAAAAGUAAGGUUUUCUGUCAUCAAGUGACAGGCUGUUUUUGAUUAACUCUCUUCAUCUCUGAAAAUAUUUCAUUCUCUAAAUUUUAAUUGCUUUUCUGACUUACAUUGAAGUUGAGGAAAUCACAGGGUAAACAUCAAGUGAAACAUCUUUAAAAGAAUAAAUGAUGAGAAAAUAAUCUGAGUAAAUCGAUACGUGUUCUGUCAGGCUGAAAAGCUAAGACACGAAUAUCUCAGACCUUUCUGAAAAGAAUGAAAACCAAAUAAAAAAAUCUUUAAUUAAAAAAAUCUGGGUAUAUAUAUAUGUUUAAACAUUACCUCUUGCCAGACCAGCACUUACCUGGCAUCUGCUCAGCUCUUCUAUUCUGCACAGGCUGUGGGGUCUAAGAGCACACUGGCAGCUCAGGCGAGCAUUUCCUGAAACAGAAAAGGCAGGAAUUAUUUGCUUAUCUACUUGGUUUCAAACACCAUCAACAUGUGGUAAAAAGGGAAAAAAAAAAAAAACAGCAAUGAGUAAGAAAGUGCAAGACUUUCAUUUUCAAAGACACCAUGGUUGCACAGCCUUGGGAAAAGCGAGAGGAACCCAAAUAACGUGCUAACAGUGCUGCCCGAGCAAGCCAGACAGAUCAUUUGCGUGGGAAGCAAAACUCCCAGGUCAAAUGGCUGCAAAAAAGGUGUCUUGAAAAUCACAUGUAAAAUUCUUUCCAUGUGCAUAUCUCAUUGCUUUGUGACCAGCCACCCUAGCCACAUAAGCGAACGUCUCCUUUAAAGCAGUUUCAGGGGCUCGUUCACACAAGCAGGUGCUUGUGCAACUGCAGGCAGAAAAUCUCUGGCUUCAGGUGCAGUGUGUACCCAUAUUAUCUCCUCUCCUUGCAGUGUGCCUGGUGGCUGAGCAGAGCUCGCUUCUCGCUCUCUGCCUGUGCCUGCAAUCUCACAUAAAUCUGAGGGUAGAUUAGUGAAACCUAA
Molecule: long non-coding RNA, 4673 nt
Organism: Cygnus atratus (black swan)
Lineage: Eukaryota; Metazoa; Chordata; Aves; Anseriformes; Anatidae
Exons: 14
Source: RefSeq, a predicted model, not a curated record